GCGAGAAAACUUUGCAAUGUGCGAAAGCACGACAAGGUUAAUCCGAGUGGUUUGUGCUAAACGAACCUUUUGUUAGUCCUAGAAACACUAACGAAUAAGGGGUGGCAAGUUCUGGUGU
RNAcentral lists this ribosomal RNA (118 nucleotides) under uncultured crenarchaeote. Its description in RNAcentral is "partial 16S ribosomal RNA". It matches the Rfam family "Archaeal small subunit ribosomal RNA", at positions 339 to 458 of the family's 1478-position model. The record is from RNAcentral. Lineage: Archaea; Thermoproteati; Thermoproteota.